GAUGAACGCUGGCGGCGUGCCUAAUACAUGCAAGUCGUGCGAACAGACGAGGAGCUUGCUCCUUCGACGUUAGCGGCGGACGGGUGAGUAACACGUAGGUAACCUACCUAUAAGACUGGGAUAACUUCGGGAAACCGGAGCUAAUACCGGAUAAUAUUUCGAACCGCAUGGUUCGAUAGUGAAAGAUGGCUUUGCUAUCACUUAUAGAUGGACCUGCGCCGUAUUAGCUAGUUGGUAAGGUAACGGCUUACCAAGGCAACGAUACGUAGCCGACCUGAGAGGGUGAUCGGCCACACUGGAACUGAGACACGGUCCAGACUCCUACGGGAGGCAGCAGUAGGGAAUCUUCCGCAAUGGGCGAAAGCCUGACGGAGCAACGCCGCGUGAGUGAUGAAGGUCUUCGGAUCGUAAAACUCUGUUAUUAGGGAAGAACAAACGUGUAAGUAACUGUGCACGUCUUGACGGUACCUAAUCAGAAAGCCACGGCUAACUACGUG
This 497-nucleotide ribosomal RNA is filed under the name uncultured bacterium. Its description in RNAcentral is "partial 16S ribosomal RNA". It matches the Rfam family "Bacterial small subunit ribosomal RNA", at positions 28 to 507 of the family's 1533-position model. The record is from RNAcentral.